CACCCCCUUCCACUGAGCUCACCCUCACUACAGAGCAGAUUGCAGCACGUCAGAAUCCCCCUUUGGCUUUUUCCUUCUGACUGCUGCAACACACUUUUCCAGCAACUCAGGACCAGGACGUCCCAUCUGCAGAUAGGCGUUCAGAGGACAGGAACAGGACAGGACACGCACCCUUGACACCACACGGCAGCACCACCAGCACCACCACAGACAUGUCCGACUCCGAAGCCGCUGCUGCCCCCGCUGAGGCCCCCGUCCCUGCUGCUUGUGCGACCAUCAAGGCUGACCUGGACAAAUGUGUGGCAGAGAAGGGAGCCGAGGGCUGCAAAGACCUGAUGGAGGCCUUCGCUGCUUGUGUGAAGAGCGCAGCUGAGGGGACGUCAUGAGGAGUCACCCUCCAGCCUCAAAUGUCCACCGCACUGAGUCCUCCAAAUUCCCAGCAUUCCCUUCUGCACAACAGCACUGGACUGAACGAUGACAACAACGAUGACGUUGAAGAUGAUGAUGAUGAUCAUAGCGUGAAAAAACACUGUUGAUUCGGGCUGAGUUUGGGAUCUGGUGGCAGUAACCACAGUUUCCUCCCCCCCUGUCCUCCCCCCUCUCCCCCCUCUGUUUUAGCCUUAUCUGGUGUCCCUCAGUCUUACCACCGCUCCCCUUCGUCCCUCCAUGGCUGACGUACAGUAUCUGGGCAAUUCCAGUGAGCCGAUGGGCUGUGAUGUAAAUUGUCGACUUGAAAUGAAUACUUAUAAAUGGAAAUAAAAGUAUCAAAUAAUUGGUAUAAAAAGAA
Salarias fasciatus (jewelled blenny) is the source of this 787-nucleotide long non-coding RNA. RefSeq lists it as uncharacterized. The transcript is spliced from 4 exons. The record is from RefSeq and is a predicted model, not a curated record. Lineage: Eukaryota; Metazoa; Chordata; Actinopteri; Blenniiformes; Blenniidae.